GACGAACGCUGGCGGCGUGCUUAACACAUGCCAGUCGAACGCUGAAGCUCAGCUUUUGUUGGGUGGAUGAGUGGCGAACGGGUGAGUAACACGUGAGUAACCUGCCUCCUUCUUUGGGAUAACGCCCGGAAACGGGUGCUAAUACUGGAUAUUCACUGGUCUUCGCAUGGGGGUUGGUGGAAAGGGUUUUUCUGGUGGGGGAUGGGCUCGCGGCCUAUCAGCUUGUUGGUGGGGUGAUGGCCUACCAAGGCUUUGACGGGUAGCCGGCCUGAGAGGGUGACCGGUAACAUUGGGACUGAGAUACGGCCCAGACUCCUACGGGAGGCAGCAGUGGGGAAUAUUGCACAAUGGGCGCAAGCCUGAUGCAGCGACGCCGCGGGAGGGAUGGAGGCCUUCGGGUUGUGAACCUCUUUCGCUCAUGGUCAAGCCGCAACAAUGGUUGUGGUGAGGGUAGUGGGUAAAGAAGCGCCGGCUAACUACGUG
This 483-nucleotide ribosomal RNA is filed under the name uncultured bacterium. RNAcentral describes it as "partial 16S ribosomal RNA". It matches the Rfam family "Bacterial small subunit ribosomal RNA", at positions 28 to 507 of the family's 1533-position model. The record is from RNAcentral.